CAAAUCCGUGCACAGAAUGCAAGGCGUGAAGUGGAGCGAACGAGCAAUCAAGUAGUGAAGCGAUUGAUGCCAGCUUUCAAGAAAAGUUGCUAACGUAAUUAUAUGCGGCCCGUACCGAGAACGGACACACGUGGUCAAGGAGAGUAUCCUAAGGUGAGCGAGUGAACUGUUGUUAAGGAACUCUGCAAAAUUACUUCGUAAGUUCGCAAGAAGAAGUGCUACAGCGAUGUAGCCGCAGUGAAGAGGCCCAAGUAACUGUUUAACAAAAACACAGCUUUAUGCUAAGUCGUAAGACGAUGUAUAUGAGGUGAUGCCUGCCCAGUGCUGGAAGGUUAAAAGGAGAUGUGGUCCGCAAGGAGAAGCAUUGAUCUGAAGCCCCAGUGAACGGCGGCCGUAACUAUAACGGUCCUAAGGUAGCGAAAUUCCUUGUCGGGUAAGUUCCGACGCGCAUGAAUGGUAUAAUAAUUUGGGCGCUGUCUCGACAGCAGACUCGGUGAAAUCUUAAUACCUGUGAACAUGCAGGUUACCCGCGACUAGACGGAAAGACCCCAUGGAGCUUUACUAUAGCUUAAUAUUGAAUAGUUGAAAAUCCUGUACAGGAUAGGUAGGAGACUAAGAAGUUUGUGCGUCAGCAUGAAUGGAGUCAACGGUGGGAUACUACUCUUGAUUUUCGAUUGUUCUAACUUAGAAUCAAAACGGGUUCGAGGACAGUGUUAGGUGGGUAGUUUGACUGGGGCGGUCGCCUCCUAAAGAGUAACGGAGGCGCCCCAAGGUACCCUCAGUAUGGUUGGAAAUCAUACAACGAGUGCAAAGGCAUAAGGGUGCUUGACUGCGAGACCUACAAGUCGAGCAGGGACGAAAGUCGGGCUUAGUGAUCCGGCGGUUCCGAGUGGAAGGGCCGUCGCUCAACGGAUAAAAGCUACCCUGGGGAUAACAGGCUUAUCGCGUCCAAGAGUUCACAUCGACGACGCGGUUUGGCACCUCGAUGUCGGCUCAUCGCAUCCUGGAGGGGAAGUACCUUCCAAGGGUAUGGCUGUUCGCCAUUUAAAGCGGUACGCGAGCUGGGUUCAAAACGUCGUGAGACAGUUUGGUCCCUAUCUGUCGUGGGCGUAGGAAGUUUGAAAGGAGCUGUCCCUAGUACGAGAGGACCGGGAUGGACAUAGCAAUGGUACACCAGUUGUCACGCCAGUGGCACAGCUGGGUAGCUACCUAUGGAUCGGAUAAACGCUGAAAGCAUCUAAGCGCGAAGCCGUCCUUAAGAUAAGACUUCCCAUUCGCAAGAAGUAAGAUCCCUUCAAAGUUAGGAGGUUGAUAGGUCAUAGAUGUACGCAUAGUGAUAUGUUUAGUCAAGUGAUACUAAUAGAUCGAGGACUUAAGAUA
This 1380-nucleotide ribosomal RNA is filed under the name human gut metagenome. RNAcentral's name for it is "bacterial LSU rRNA". It matches the Rfam family "Bacterial large subunit ribosomal RNA", at positions 1537 to 2925 of the family's 2925-position model. The record is from RNAcentral.